RNAcentral lists this ribosomal RNA (697 nucleotides) under uncultured bacterium. RNAcentral describes it as "bacterial SSU rRNA". It matches the Rfam family "Bacterial small subunit ribosomal RNA", at positions 185 to 883 of the family's 1533-position model. The record is from RNAcentral.
GCACACAUGUAAUUAAGAUUAAAGAUUUAUCGGUGUACGAUGGGGAUGCGUUCCAUUAGGUAGUAGGCGGGGUAACGGCCCACCUAGCCAACGAUGGAUAGGGGUUCUGAGAGGAAGGUCCCCCACAUUGGAACUGAGACACGGUCCAAACUCCUACGGGAGGCAGCAGUGAGGAAUAUUGGUCAAUGGACGAGAGUCUGAACCAGCCAAGUAGCGUGAAGGAUGAAGGUCCUACGGAUUGUAAACUUCUUUUAUAAGGGAAUAAACCCUCCCACGUGUGGGAGCUUGUAUGUACCUUAUGAAUAAGCAUCGGCUAACUCCGUGCCAGCAGCCGCGGUAAUACGGAGGAUGCGAGCGUUAUCCGGAUUUAUUGGGUUUAAAGGGAGCGCAGACGGGUCGUUAAGUCAGCUGUGAAAGUUUGGGGCUCAACCUUAAAAUUGCAGUUGAUACUGGCGUCCUUGAGUGCGGUUGAGGUGUGCGGAAUUCGUGGUGUAGCGGUGAAAUGCUUAGAUAUCACGAAGAACUCCGAUUGCGAAGGCAGCACACUAAUCCGUAACUGACGUUCAUGCUCGAAAGUGUGGGUAUCAAACAGGAUUAGAUACCCUGGUAGUCCACACGGUAAACGAUGGAUACUCGCUGUUGGCGAUAUACUGUCAGCGGCUUAGCGAAAGCGUUAAGUAUCCCACCUGGGGAGUAC